This 234-nucleotide ribosomal RNA is filed under the name uncultured bacterium. Its description in RNAcentral is "partial 16S ribosomal RNA". It matches the Rfam family "Bacterial small subunit ribosomal RNA", at positions 524 to 755 of the family's 1533-position model. The record is from RNAcentral.
UACGGGGGGGUGCGAGCGUUGUCCGGAAUCACUGGGCGUAAAGGGCGCGUAGGUGGCGUCGUAAGUCUGUGGUGAAAGCCCGGAGCUCAACUCCGGGUCUGCCGCGGAUACUGCGAGGCUUGAGUGCUGUAGAGGGGGGUAGAAUGCCCGGGUGUAGCGGUGGAAUGCGUAGAGAUCCGGAAGAACACCGGUGGCGAAGGCGGCCUGCUGGGAUCUUGCUGACGCUGAGGCGCG